GUGAGCUAGCGAGCGGGUUACUCGAAAGAGAGGAAACUCCUCCCUCACUGCAGGCACCCAAAUUAGCGAUAAUUAACUGGAGACAGUUGGCGCCGGAACAGAAAAGAUAUCCAGCCACAUAAACACAAUGAUGGUGAAUAGCCUGAGAUUUGUGAUACAGGAUUGAAACUGCCGUCCUGGGUGGAGCAAGGCCAAACAGAGCUUAAAAGUCCUGCACUUGCUCAGGUUGGCCGCUCAGCGGAAUCCCGCAUAGAACAGAAGGAGGGUUACUACUAGCACAC
This 281-nucleotide RNase P RNA is filed under the name Thermoproteota archaeon. RNAcentral's name for it is "RNase P RNA component". It matches the Rfam family "Archaeal RNase P". From Rfam's summary of the family: Ribonuclease P (RNase P) is a ubiquitous endoribonuclease, found in archaea, bacteria and eukarya as well as chloroplasts and mitochondria. Its best characterised activity is the generation of mature 5'-ends of tRNAs by cleaving the 5'-leader elements of precursor-tRNAs. Cellular RNase Ps are ribonucleoproteins. Lineage: Archaea; Thermoproteati; Thermoproteota. The record is from RNAcentral.